RNAcentral lists this non-coding RNA (46 nucleotides) under Schistosoma mattheei. The record is from RNAcentral. Lineage: Eukaryota; Metazoa; Platyhelminthes; Trematoda; Strigeidida; Schistosomatidae.
GUACUGCUGAAGAGUCCCACAAUAGGACGAAACGGUCGUUCAAUGC